This 1534-nucleotide ribosomal RNA is filed under the name metagenome. RNAcentral's name for it is "bacterial SSU rRNA". It matches the Rfam family "Bacterial small subunit ribosomal RNA". The record is from RNAcentral.
AGAGUUUGAUUCUGGCUCAGAACGAACGCUGGCAGCGUGGAUUAGGCAUGCAAGUCGAACGUGAAGCCGAUGACCAAUCUUUCGGGAAAGUGAUUCGGUGGAAAGUGGCGAAAGGGUGAGUAACGCGUGGGUAAGCUAUCUUCAAGUUCGGGACAACCCGCCGAAAGGCGAGCUAAUACCGAAUGUGGUCUUUGGAUGCAUAUCCGGAUGAUUAAAGGUGGGGCUCCUUUUGGACCUGCCGCUUUUAGAGGUGCCCGCGUGCCAUCAGCUUGUUGGUAGGGUAACGGCCUACCAAGGCUUACGGCUAGCCGGCCUGAGAGGGUGACCGGCCACACUGGGACUGAGACACUGCCCAGACUCCUACGGGAGGCUGCAGUCGAGGAUCAUUCGCAAUGCGCGAAAGCGUGACGAUGCGACGCUGCGUGGAGGAUGAAGGCCUUCGGGUCGUAAACUCCUGUCAUGAGGGAACAGCCAUUUCGCCCCUAAUACGGGUGGGAUCGAUGGUACCUCAAGAGGAAGCCACGGCUAACUCUGUGCCAGCAGCCGCGGUAAUACAGAGGUGGCGAGCGUUGUUCGGAUUUACUGGGCGUAAAGGGUGCGUAGGUGGUUUUGUAUGUCGGAUGUGAAAGCCCAUGGCUCAACCGUGGAAUUGCAUUCGAAACUGCGGAACUAGAGUGCAGGAUGGGAGAGCGGAGUUCUUGGUGUAGCGGUGAAAUGCGUUGAUAUCAAGAAGAACACCGGUGGCGAAGGCGGCUCUCUGGAAUGUCACUGACACUGAGGCACGAAAGCUGGGGGAGCAAACAGGAUUAGAUACCCUGGUAGCCCCAGCCGUAAACGGUGCACACUUGGUGUGGGGAGAUUUAACCCUCUCCGUGCCGGAGCUAACGCGUUAAGUGUGCCGCCUGGGGAGUACGGCCGCAAGGCUAAAACUCAAAGAAAUUGACGGGGGCCCGCACAAGCGGAGGAGCAUGUGGCUUAAUUCGAUGCAACGCGAAGAACCUUACCAGGGCUUGACAUAUACCUGCACGCCCCUCGAAAGGGGGGAAGCCUUCGAGGGUGGUAUACAGGUGCUGCAUGGCUGUCGUCAGUUCGUGCUGUGAGGUGUUGGGUUAAGUCCCGUAACGAACGCAACCCUUGUGGUUAGUUGCCACCGGCGGUGAUGAGCCGCCGAGCACUCUAGCCAGACUGCCCGUACAAGCGGGAGGAAGGUGGGGAUGACGUCAAGUCAGUAUGGCCCUUACGCCCUGGGCUGCACACGUGCUACAAUGGGCGGUACAAUGGGAAGCAAUACCGCGAGGUGGAGCAAAUCCCCAAAGCCGCCCCCAGUUCGGAUUGAAGUCUGCAACUCGACUUCAUGAAGUUGGAUUCGCUUAACGGCGCAUCAGCUACGGCGCCGUGAAUACGUUCCCGGGCCUUGUACACACCGCCCGUCACAUCAUGAAAGCCGUCUGCACCCGAAGUCGCUGAUCCAACCCGCAAGGGAGGAAGGUGCCGAAGGUGUGGGUGGUGAUUGGGAUGAAGUCGGAACAAGGUA